RNAcentral lists this ribosomal RNA (526 nucleotides) under uncultured bacterium. RNAcentral describes it as "bacterial SSU rRNA". It matches the Rfam family "Bacterial small subunit ribosomal RNA", at positions 777 to 1301 of the family's 1533-position model. The record is from RNAcentral.
AAUAGAUACCCCGGUAGUCCACGCCGUAAACGAUGAGUGCUAAGUGUUAGAGGGUUUCCGCCCUUUAGUGCUGCAGCUAACGCAUUAAGCACUCCGCCUGGGGAGUACGGUCGCAAGACUGAAACUCAAAGGAAUUGACGGGGGCCCGCACAAGCGGUGGAGCAUGUGGUUUAAUUCGAAGCAACGCGAAGAACCUUACCAGGUCUUGACAUCCUCUGACAACUCUAGAGAUAGAGCGUUCCCCUUCGGGGGACAGAGUGACAGGUGGUGCAUGGUUGUCGUCAGCUCGUGUCGUGAGAUGUUGGGUUAAGUCCCGCAACGAGCGCAACCCUUGAUCUUAGUUGCCAGCAUUUAGUUGGGCACUCUAAGGUGACUGCCGGUGACAAACCGGAGGAAGGUGGGGAUGACGUCAAAUCAUCAUGCCCCUUAUGACCUGAGCUACACACGUGCUACAAUGGAUGGUACAAAGGGCUGCAAGACCGCGAGGUCAAGCCAAUCCCAUAAAACCAUUCUCAGUUCGGAUUGU